Molecule: non-coding RNA, 1604 nt
Organism: Salmo salar (Atlantic salmon)
Lineage: Eukaryota; Metazoa; Chordata; Actinopteri; Salmoniformes; Salmonidae
Source: RefSeq, a predicted model, not a curated record
UGCAAUGAUCAUGGCAUGAUUUAAUGGGAUACUUAGGCCUUUUGGCAAUGAGCCCCUUUAUCUACUUCCCCAGUCAGAUGAACUUGUAGAUACAUUUUCUAUGUCUCUGUGUCCAUCUAGUAUGAAGGAAGUUAGUGGUUGUUUCGCGAGCUGGAAGUCUAUGGGUAUCGACUAGCAUUGUAGUCAAUACCCAUGAGAGGUUGACUUGAAAGUAGUGGCAAAUGAGAGGUUAGCUUGAAAGUAUUGCCAACUGUCAUAUGUUAGCAGUGGCUAGUUAAUUGAAACCAAACUGUGGAUUACAGUCAGUUCAUAUUCACAUAUAGUAUUCAAGGGAAAAUGGGACAGCACAGCUCAAACGGAGAGACCAACAGCUACUUGUCUGGAAUGGAGGAAAAGAAAUGAUGGAAGCUUAAAGUCAUCAGGAACAGCAUUUAUUAGACAGGUUGUAAGGCUUUGGAGGAGUCGCCUGAGGAUGGGAGUUGACGGAAUACAACAUUACGUGAAUAUGUUGCUUCAUAGCAUCUUUUUCUUAGGUCACAUUCAUCAGGCCAGUCUUCUUCCAAAUGCCUUCUUUGAGUCUCGUGAGGGUAGGCUUGUGAUGUACGAUUUAGAAAGAAGAUUUCCACAGGCAUUCCACAAUUACAAGUAUCCACCCCACCAGACUCCAUUUUCCAAUCUUCUGACUUUGGCUGUCAGGAUUUGUCGAUGUGAAGAGGAAGAGGGAAUAAAAAGCUUUCUUCUACAUUUCCUGAAUGCAUUGGACUUGCCCCCCAGAAUAAAAGGCGAAAGUAAUUACACAAACUACUACACUCUGGAGGCCUCUACCAUAGCUUUGUGCUACAACGAAACCCCUGGACUCCGCAGACCAGUGAAGUACUAUGGAGCAUCCCUGUCCUGCAGAGGGGAGAGAGAAAAGAACAUUAUGAUCAAUUGGUCAUGUCUAAAUGUGUGGCAUGACUAUGUGUCUUAUGCAGUGUUGUCAUUCAGACAUGAUGAACAGGGAAACGGUAUCAGAUUCCCUGUCACCGUAAAAUGCAGAGCAUUCUACAGGAAUCCCCAGACCAAUUGUUAUGAAGACCGAAGGCCGUGCAAAAACUGUGGGGAUCUUUUCUCUCUCUCAAACCCUGAGAUGGACAAAAAUGACUUUCCCUACGGAAACUGUGCUGAGACAGAGUGCCUCAGUAACCUUCUAUUAGGUGAUCAUGAUGUCUGCAGCAAUAUGAGUUUUGGACACUACACAAGAGAAAAGGUCAUAGAGAAACUAUACAAGACAAAUGGUCUCAGAAAUAUGGCAGAAAACGCUUUGGAACAUUUAGGUUUCGUUUCACACGGGCAUGAUUUGCCUAGAUAAAUAAAGGUUAAAUAAAAUAAAAUGUGUUUUGUGUCACAGUGGAAACUGUUUCCACAUUUCUGAUGUGACAGGAAACUACAGAAAGGGUGUGACACUGAACUUGUUUGAAUGCAGACCAUUCAGAGAAACCAUAGCUAAAACAAUGGGCAAAUACAGACAGCAUGAUGAUAGAGCUACAAUGAUGUUACUUUAUGAGACAAAUGUAUCUUGUAAAUAUCUUGUAUCCAUCAAUAAAUGAGAAUUCUUAAAAGUU